GGAAUGGUCCCCACACUGGUGACUGAGAUAUGGGCCAGACUCUACGGGAGGCAGCAGUAAGGAAUAUUGGUCAAUGGGCGAGAGCCUGAACCAGCCAUGCCGCGUGCAGGAAGACGGCCUUCUGGGUUGUAAACUGCUUUUAUACGGGAAGAAAAAGGUCUUGCGAGGCCAAUUGCCGGUACCGUAUGAAUAAGCACCGGCUAACUCCGUGCCAGCAGCCGCGGUAAUACGGAGGGUGCAAGCGUUGUCCGGAUUUAUUGGGUUUAAAGGGUGUGUAGGCGGUAGUUUAAGUCAGUGGUGAAAGUCUUGAGCUUAACUGAAGAAGUGCCAUUGAAACUGGAUUACUAGAGUAUAGUCGAGGUAGGCGGAAUUUAUGGUGUAGCGGUGAAAUGCAUAGAUACCAUAAAGAACACCGAUAGCGAAGGCAGCUUACUAGGCUAUAACUGACGCUGAGGCACGAAAGCAUGGGUAUCGAACAGGACUAGAUACCCUGGUAGUCCAUGCUGUAAACGAUGCUCACUAGCUGUUGGCGAUAUAAGUUCAGCGGCUUAGCGAAAGCGAUAAGUGAGCCACCUGGGGAGUACG
Molecule: ribosomal RNA, 585 nt
Filed under: uncultured organism
Description: bacterial SSU rRNA
Rfam family: Bacterial small subunit ribosomal RNA
Source: RNAcentral